UUGUCUUGAAACUAUACAUUUAUUUUCUUAUUUAAAAUGUCUAGCCCAUUGAUAUGUUGGCCUAUAUAUAGUACAAAAUUCAUAACUUGAUGACAUGAUUGUAAACUUAUAAAAGAAGCUCCAAGCUUGAACUACAAGAAAUCUAUGUUUUCUAGCAACAUAUUGCAUGAAUAUAGAUACAAGUAACAUUUAAGUACAAAACAAAAAACUGGAAAAAAUCCACCAAAGUUGGCCGAUAGAGUCUAAUCUACCGUCUUUGGAAGUUGAAGACCUUGAUUGAGACAGCAAAAAUACAUGCAAACAACACUGCAGUCCCAACAACCACAACUGCACAAACUCCUAUGAAGUCAUGCUUCAUACCAAAAUAACUUCUUAUGAAUUCUUGAACUGACUCAUUCUCUGAUUCCAUGAUUUUGGUUAUAUCUCCAAAUUGUGAUGCAAUCAGUCCGUAUAGUGUCCAAGACACUGGACAGCCCCAGUAGUACCAUCUCCACCAGACAGGAAUCAUCUGUCGCGGAACGAUAAAUCCUGAAAAAAGAUUCCAAAUUGCGUAAAAUGCAGCAGCCACGAUUGAUGCGACAUGGUGAUUUGGAGUAAUUGCUACAGCCAUCAUACCAUAGAAGGUGAAGUAGCAUAAUGUACAGUACAUGAAAAAUAUGUACCAUAAGAACUUCGCUACAGUCCACUCAAAUCCAAUCAUGGCAUAAACUAUC
RNAcentral lists this long non-coding RNA (713 nucleotides) under Medicago truncatula (barrel medic). RNAcentral's name for it is "lncRNA gene20511". The record is from RNAcentral. Lineage: Eukaryota; Viridiplantae; Streptophyta; Magnoliopsida; Fabales; Fabaceae.